GGCUCAGGACGAACGCUGGCGGCGUGCCUAACACAUGCAAGUCAAGGGUGUAGCAAUACACACUGGCGCACGGGUGAGUAACGCGUAGGUCAUCUGCCCCUAUCUCAGACAUAACAUCGAGAAAUCGGUGCUAAUAUCUGAUGAGGAGAGCAAUCUUCAAAGGUUUACCGGAUGGGGAUGAGCCUGCGUCUGAUUAGCUUGUUGGUAAGGUAAAAGCUUACCAAGGCGACGAUCAGUAGCUGGUCUGAGAGGACGAUCAGCCACACUGGAACUGAGACACGGUCCAGACUCCUACGGGAGGCAGCAGUGAGGAAUAUUGGUCAAUGGGGGAAACCCUGAACCAGCGACGCCGCGUGUAGGAUGAAGGGGCUUUGCCCUGUAAACUACUGUCGGAUGGGAAGAAAAGCGUCCUCGGGGCGCUGGGACUGUACCAUCAAAGGAAGGACCGGCUAACUACGUGCCAGCAGCCGCGGUAAUACGUAGGGUCCAAGCGUUGUCCGGAUUUACUGGGUGUAAAGGGUGCGUAGGCGGACUUGUGCGUCAGAGGUUAAAUGUCACGGCUCAACCGUGAACCUGCCUUUGAUACGGCAAGUCUGGAGUACGAGAGAGGAUGGUAGAAUUCCUGGUGUAGCGGUGAAAUGCGUAGAUAUCAGGAGGAAUACCAGUGGCGAAGGCGGCCAUCUGGCUCGUAACUGACGCUGAGGCACGAAAGCGUGGGGAGCAAACAGGAUUAGAUACCCUGGUAGUCCACGCCCUAAACGAUGUAUGCUUGGUGUUGGAGACCUGGUCUUCAGUGCCGGAGGAAACCCGUUAAGCAUACCACCUGGGGAGUACGAUCGCAAGUUUGAAACUCAAAUG
This 858-nucleotide ribosomal RNA is filed under the name uncultured bacterium. RNAcentral describes it as "bacterial SSU rRNA". It matches the Rfam family "Bacterial small subunit ribosomal RNA", at positions 21 to 907 of the family's 1533-position model. The record is from RNAcentral.